Molecule: ribosomal RNA, 497 nt
Filed under: uncultured bacterium
Lineage: Bacteria
Description: partial 16S ribosomal RNA
Rfam family: Bacterial small subunit ribosomal RNA
Source: RNAcentral
GAUGAACGCUGGCGGCGUGCCUAAUACAUGCAAGUAGAACGCUGAAGGAAGGAGCUUGCUCUUUCCGGAUGAGUUGCGCACGGGUGAGUAACGCGUAGGUAACCUGCCUGGUAGCGGGGGAUAACUAUUGGAAACGAUAGCUAAUACCGCAUAACAGUAGAUGUUGCAUGAUAUCUACUUAAAAGGUGCAAUUGCACCACUACCAGAUGGACCUGCGUUGUAUUAGCUAGUUGGUGAGGUAACGGCUCACCAAGGCGACGAUACAUAGCCGACCUGAGAGGGUGAGCGGCCACACUGAGACUGAGACACGGCCCAGACUCCUACGGGAGGCAGCAGUAGGGAAUCUUCGGCAAUGGGCGGAAGUCUGACCGAGCAACGCCGCGGGAGGGAAGAAGGUUUUCGGAUCGGAAAGCUCUGUUGUAAGAGAAGAACGAGUGUGAGAGUGGAAAGUUCACACUGUGACGGUAUCUUAUCAGAAAGGGACGGCUAACUACGUG